RNAcentral lists this ribosomal RNA (644 nucleotides) under Bacillus sp. (in: firmicutes). RNAcentral's name for it is "bacterial SSU rRNA". It matches the Rfam family "Bacterial small subunit ribosomal RNA", at positions 41 to 663 of the family's 1533-position model. Lineage: Bacteria; Bacillati; Bacillota; Bacilli; Caryophanales; Bacillaceae. The record is from RNAcentral.
GGCGGGUUCUAUACAUGCAGUCGAGCGGACAGAUGGGAGCUUGCUCCCUGAAGUCAGCGGCGGACGGGUGAGUAACACGUGGGCAACCUGCCUGUAAGACUGGGAUAACUCCGGGAAACCGGGGCUAAUACCGGAUAAUUCUUUCCCUCACAUGAGGGAAAGCUGAAAGAUGGUUUCGGCUAUCACUUACAGAUGGGCCCGCGGCGCAUUAGCUAGUUGGUGAGGUAACGGCUCACCAAGGCAACGAUGCGUAGCCGACCUGAGAGGGUGAUCGGCCACACUGGGACUGAGACACGGCCCAGACUCCUACGGGAGGCAGCAGUAGGGAAUCUUCCGCAAUGGACGAAAGUCUGACGGAGCAACGCCGCGUGAGUGAUGAAGGUUUUCGGAUCGUAAAACUCUGUUGUUAGGGAAGAACAAGUACCGGAGUAACUGCCGGUACCUUGACGGUACCUAACCAGAAAGCCACGGCUAACUACGUGCCAGGCAGCCGCGGUAAUUACGUAGGUGGCAAGCGUUGUCCGGAAUUAUAUGGGCGUAAAGCGCGCGCGCAGCGGUUCCUUAAGUCUGAUGUGAAAGCCCCCGGCUCAACCGGGGGAGGGUCAUUGGAAACUGGGGGAACUUGAGUGCAGAAAAAGAAGAGU